Molecule: ribosomal RNA, 276 nt
Filed under: Triticum aestivum (bread wheat)
Lineage: Eukaryota; Viridiplantae; Streptophyta; Magnoliopsida; Poales; Poaceae
Description: partial small subunit ribosomal RNA
Source: RNAcentral
AUGACUUACGCGUUCUGUUAUCAUUUCCUACUGGAGGAUCCCUUAAUCCAAUUCAAGGAGGAUUAUAAAUGGAUAGAUAUCUUUGAUUUGCACUAGAGACUGAGAGUCGAUGGACUUUCAUUAGGAUCUAUUUUAUUAACCAGAUUUAUCAUUACUUUAGCUACCUUAGCAGGUUGGCCAAUUACACGAAAUUCAUGAUUAUUCUAUUUCCUGAUCCUCGCAAUGUAUGGUGGUCAAAAAGGAUUUGUUUCUUCGUGAGACCUUUUUUUUGUCUAG